GAUGAACGCUAGCGGCAGGCCUAACACAUGCAAGUGGAGGGGUAACAGAAAAGCUUGCUUUUGCUGACGACCGGCGCACGGGUGCGUAACGCGUAUGCAACCUACCUCAUACUGGAGGAUAGCCCCUGGAAACGGGGAUUAAUACUCCAUAGUAUCACAAUUUCGCAUGUUAUUGUGAUUAAAGUUUUUCGGUAUGAGAUGGGCAUGCGUCCCAUUAGCUUGUUGGUGAGGUAACGGCUCACCAAGGCAACGAUGGGUAGGGGGCCUGAGAGGGUGGUCCCCCACACUGGUACUGAGACACGGACCAGACUCCUACGGGAGGCAGCAGUGAGGAAUAUUGGUCAAUGGAG
RNAcentral lists this ribosomal RNA (350 nucleotides) under uncultured bacterium. Its description in RNAcentral is "bacterial SSU rRNA". It matches the Rfam family "Bacterial small subunit ribosomal RNA", at positions 28 to 376 of the family's 1533-position model. The record is from RNAcentral.